RNAcentral lists this ribosomal RNA (223 nucleotides) under uncultured Rhizobiaceae bacterium. RNAcentral describes it as "partial 16S ribosomal RNA". It matches the Rfam family "Bacterial small subunit ribosomal RNA", at positions 29 to 282 of the family's 1533-position model. The record is from RNAcentral. Lineage: Bacteria; Pseudomonadati; Pseudomonadota; Alphaproteobacteria; Hyphomicrobiales; Rhizobiaceae.
AACGAACGCUGGCGGCAGGCUUAACACAUGCAAGUCGAACGCCCCGCAAGGGGAGUGGCAGACGGGUGAGUAACGCGUGGGAAUCUACCCAACUCUACGGAAUAACUCAGGGAAACUUGUGCUAAUACCGUAUACGCCCUUCGGGGAAAGAUUUAUCGGAGUUGGAUGAGCCCGCGUUGGAUUAGCUAGUUGGUGGGGUAAAGGCCUACCAAGGCGACGAUCC